This 194-nucleotide ribosomal RNA is filed under the name uncultured prokaryote. RNAcentral's name for it is "partial 16S ribosomal RNA". It matches the Rfam family "Bacterial small subunit ribosomal RNA", at positions 524 to 717 of the family's 1533-position model. The record is from RNAcentral.
CACGGGGGGAGCAAGCGUUGUUCGGAAUCACUGGGCGUAAAGGGCGUGUAGGCGGUCAGGUAAGUGGGAUGUGAAAUGCCCCGGCUCACCCGGGGACCGGCAUCCCAUACUGCUUGGCUUGAGUACGGGAGAGGAUGUGGGAAUUCCUGGUGUAGCGGUGAAAUGCGUGGAUAUCUGGAAGAACACCGGCGGCG